RNAcentral lists this ribosomal RNA (575 nucleotides) under uncultured bacterium. RNAcentral's name for it is "bacterial SSU rRNA". It matches the Rfam family "Bacterial small subunit ribosomal RNA", at positions 820 to 1394 of the family's 1533-position model. The record is from RNAcentral.
GUGUGGGGCUCAUUCCACGAGUUCCGUGCCGCAGCAACGCAUUAAGUGCCCCGCCUGGGGAGUACGGCCGCAAGGCUAAAACUCAAAGGAAUUGACGGGGGCCCGCACAAGCGGCGGAGCAUGCGGAUUAAUUCGAUGCAACGCGAAGAACCUUACCAAGGCUUGACAUACACCGGAAUCAUCCAGAGAUGGGUGCGUCUUUUUGACUGGUGUACAGGUGGUGCAUGGUUGUCGUCAGCUCGUUUCGUGAGAUGUUGGGUUAAGUCCCGCAACGAGCGCAACCCUCGUCCUAUGUUGCCAGCACGUGAUGGUGGGGACUCAUAGGAGACUGCCGGGGUCAACUCGGAGGAAGGUGGGGAUGACGUCAAAUCAUCAUGCCCCUUAUGUCUUGGGCUUCACGCAUGCUACAAUGGCCGGUACAAAGGGCCGCGAUACCGCAAGGUGGAGCGAAUCCCAAAAAGCCGGUCUCAGUUCGGAUUGGGGUCUGCAACUCGACCCCAUGAAGUCGGAGUCGCUAGUAAUCGCAGAUCAGCAACGCUGCGGUGAAUACGUUCCCGGGCCUUGUACACUCCGCC